UACGGAGGAUCCAAGCGUUAUCCGGAAUCAUUGGGUUUAAAGGGUCCGUAGGCGGAUUAGUAAGUCAGGGGUGAAAGUUUGCGGCUUAACCGUAAAAUUGCCUUUGAUACUGCUAGUCUUGAAUAAUUAUGAAGUAGCUAGAAUAUGUAGUGUAGCGGUGAAAUGCUUAGAUAUUACAUGGAAUACCGAUUGCGAAGGCAGGUUACUAAUAAUUUAUUGACGCUGAUGGACGAAAGCGUGGGGAGCGAACAGG
RNAcentral lists this ribosomal RNA (253 nucleotides) under uncultured bacterium. Its description in RNAcentral is "partial 16S ribosomal RNA". It matches the Rfam family "Bacterial small subunit ribosomal RNA", at positions 524 to 776 of the family's 1533-position model. The record is from RNAcentral.